GUCGCUUCGGAGACAUCCGAUAAAAUUGGAAAGAUACAGAGAAGAUUAGCAUGCCCCCCGCGCAAGGAUGACACGCACAAGUCGAGAAUUGGUCCAAAUUUUA
This 103-nucleotide small nuclear RNA is filed under the name Marchantia polymorpha subsp. ruderalis. The record is from RNAcentral. Lineage: Eukaryota; Viridiplantae; Streptophyta; Marchantiopsida; Marchantiales; Marchantiaceae.